Molecule: ribosomal RNA, 208 nt
Filed under: uncultured bacterium
Lineage: Bacteria
Description: partial 16S ribosomal RNA
Rfam family: Bacterial small subunit ribosomal RNA
Source: RNAcentral
UCGGAUUGCAGGCUGCAACCCGCCUGCAUGAAGUUGGAAUCGCUAGUAAUCGCGGAUCAGCAUGCCGCGGUGAAUACGUUCCCGGGCCUUGUACACACCGCCCGUCACACCAUGAGAGUCGGGAACACCCGAAGUCCGUAGCCUAACCGCAAGGGGGGCGCGGCCGAAGGUGGGUUCGAUAAUUGGGGUGAAGUCGUAACAAGGUAGC